UACGUAGGGUGCGAGCGUUGUCCGGAAUUAUUGGGCGUAAAGAGCUCGUAGGCGGUCUGUCGCGUCGGUCGUGAAAACUUGGGGCUUAACCCUGAGCUUGCGGUCGAUACGGGCAUGACUGGAGUUCGGCAGGGGAGACUGGAAUUCCUGGUGUAGCGGUGGAAUGCGCAGAUAUCAGGAGGAACACCGAUGGCGAAGGCAGAUCUCUGGGCCGUAACUGACGCUGAGGAGCGAAAGCGUGGGGAGCGAACAGG
Molecule: ribosomal RNA, 254 nt
Filed under: uncultured bacterium
Lineage: Bacteria
Description: partial 16S ribosomal RNA
Rfam family: Bacterial small subunit ribosomal RNA
Source: RNAcentral